RNAcentral lists this ribosomal RNA (497 nucleotides) under uncultured bacterium. RNAcentral describes it as "partial 16S ribosomal RNA". It matches the Rfam family "Bacterial small subunit ribosomal RNA", at positions 28 to 507 of the family's 1533-position model. The record is from RNAcentral.
GACGAACGCUGGCGGCGUGCCUAAUACAUGCAAGUUGAGCGCUGAAGGUUGGUACUUGUACCGACUGGAUGAGCAGCGAACGGGUGAGUAACGCGUGGGGAAUCUGCCUUUGAGCGGGGGACAACAUUUGGAAACGAAUGCUAAUACCGCAUAAAAACUUUAAACACAAGUUUUAAGUUUGAAAGAUGCAAUUGCAUCACUCAAAGAUGAUCCCGCGUUGUAUUAGCUAGUCGGUGAGGUAAAGGCUCACCAAGGCGAUGAUACAUAGCCGACCUGAGAGGGUGAUCGGCCACAUUGGGACUGAGACACGGCCCAAACUCCUACGGGAGGCAGCAGUAGGGAAUCUUCGGCAAUGGACGAAAGUCUGACCGAGCAACGCCGCGUGAGUGAAGAAGGUUUUCGGAUCGUAAAACUCUGUUGGUAGAGAAGAACGUUGGUGAGAGUGGAAAGCUCAUCAAGUGACGGUAACUACCCAGAAAGGGACGGCUAACUACGUG